Molecule: ribosomal RNA, 253 nt
Filed under: uncultured bacterium
Lineage: Bacteria
Description: partial 16S ribosomal RNA
Rfam family: Bacterial small subunit ribosomal RNA
Source: RNAcentral
UACGUAGGGCGCAAGCGUUGUCCGGAAUUAUUGGGCGUAAAGGGCGCGUAGGCGGCCCGGUAAGUCAAAGGUGAAAUCCCUCGGCUCAACUGAGGAACUGCCUUUGAAACUGUCGGGCUUGAGGCCGGGAGGGGGUAGCGGAAUUCCCAGUGUAGCGGUGAAAUGCGUAGAUACUGGGAGGAACACCAGUGGCGAAGGCGGCUACCUGGACCGGUUCUGACGCUGAUGCGCGAAAGCGUGGGUAGCAAACAGG